CCACAGAUAUCAGCAGAAAGCACCCUUGUGUACAUACUACACAGUCAGAAGAUGUGGAAUCAUCAUUAAUGAACUGGAUGUUCAGAGGGAGAUGAUGCCACAUCUGGUCCAGCCGAUGGAAGGUCUUGAAGUUCUCUGACUGGCCUCUACUGAAGAUGGUCGUCUCACUGGAUUUAAGGUUCAGAUGCUCAGUAACAAACUCCACCAAUGAGCCAACAGGGAAGCUUUAGGUUUAUUAAAUGUUGCUAUGAAGGUUUCGCUGUUUUUCUUUGUGAAUGCAAUGAGCUCCAACUGAAACUUGAAUUAGAACUUAGAAGUAAAUCCUUCCAUCUGAAAGGAUUUAGUUGCAUUAAUAACCUCAUAACAUUCUAAUUUUUAUUCCAGUCUUAGUUGGAAAUAGAAUCUCUGUAUUGAUUCAGGUAAAAACUGAACUUCACAGAAUGUUGGAGCAAAACAACCAGAUGAAAACUGUGAUGGUGUUGGAUUGUCAGACCGUAAUGUUGCAGCUCAAAGCAGCU
This is a long non-coding RNA of Amphiprion ocellaris (clown anemonefish), 518 nucleotides long. The record is from Ensembl. NCBI's taxonomy places the organism in Eukaryota, Metazoa, Chordata, Actinopteri, Pomacentridae.